This 218-nucleotide long non-coding RNA is filed under the name Elaeis guineensis (African oil palm). RNAcentral's name for it is "long non-coding RNA (EGUI_LNC025182)". The record is from RNAcentral. Lineage: Eukaryota; Viridiplantae; Streptophyta; Magnoliopsida; Arecales; Arecaceae.
AGAGGUCCUAUCAGAGUGACUCAAUAUGAAUCAAGUGUUACAAAUUUCGAAUAGGAUCGGACUGGGAUCAGAUCUACCGCACGAAUUUUGGAGCAAUUUCAAAUCAUCAUAUUUUUAAUUCAAAUAUAUCCUAGGGUCUGUGAUGCAAUCAGAGAGAGAGUAGAAAGAUUCUAGAGAGAUAAAAUCCACAAAAAAGAGAGAAAGAUCUAGAGAGAGAA